Molecule: long non-coding RNA, 245 nt
Filed under: Manihot esculenta (cassava)
Lineage: Eukaryota; Viridiplantae; Streptophyta; Magnoliopsida; Malpighiales; Euphorbiaceae
Description: long non-coding RNA (MESC_LNC001607)
Source: RNAcentral
UUGGACACAGACCAGAAGAAGUCAAGGAGGUAUAUCAUGAAGCUCCAUUCCAGGUAUUCCUCCUUGAUACAGUCAGCAGAUAGAGAGAGUUUCCACGCCAUAGUGGAUAUGGCCAGGAGGAUGGAGGCUAGUGCUAUCAUCGAGGGAAAAGUCAAGCAGUCAGUGGCACAGCCUUCUGGGUUCAAGACCCCAAGUGGGGGAAAGAUAGACCCCUCUUCUCUGAGUUCAAGCAGUAAGAAGUGGAG